Molecule: long non-coding RNA, 431 nt
Filed under: Vigna radiata
Lineage: Eukaryota; Viridiplantae; Streptophyta; Magnoliopsida; Fabales; Fabaceae
Description: long non-coding RNA (VRAD_LNC016607)
Source: RNAcentral
AAGGUUUAUGAGUUUGUAUAAAAAUUAUUAUGGAUUGAUUAACAUUUUUCGAAAAAAGUGAAAAGGUUUCGUUUAACAAAAUUGAGCUUUUGGUUUUAAAUAUUUUGUGUAUUUUUCGUGUUAAAAAAAUGGUGGAAAAAGAAGAAAAGAAACUAGCCAUAGGUCGACGCGCACUUAUAUUUAAAAAAUCAUGAUUUUAAGAAAACAUUGUCUUUGUGUAAAAAAAAAUCUUUGGAAGAAAACUUUAAAGUAUAAUAAAAGGAGAAGAAUAGGAGUGUAGACAUACCUUUUUAGCUUCUGGAAUUCCCUUAGUGCUUCCUCAGUGAUUGUUGUUCACAAAACCUUUAUGUGUGAGAACAUAUUUUUUCUCUAUACUCUCUCCUUCAAUCUCUAAUAUCUCUAAGUGUUUUUCUCUAUUUUUUCCGUCCCUU